Orcinus orca (killer whale) is the source of this 390-nucleotide long non-coding RNA. RefSeq lists it as uncharacterized. Lineage: Eukaryota; Metazoa; Chordata; Mammalia; Artiodactyla; Delphinidae. The record is from RefSeq and is a predicted model, not a curated record. The transcript is spliced from 3 exons.
GUACAGAGGUCAAAGUGGUCCUUUCUGAGCAUGCGCGAAAGCGGAACAGUCUCUGGCGGCAAGUUGUCUUCUUGUUAAGUGAAGAAGUUUCGCCGCCUGGUUGUCUGUGAUGCUGGACCUCAGAGCCUAAGGAAGAGGAGGCAGGAGAUGGAGCAUGAACCCAGAGUCAGGGUGCCUGUGUUCAAGCCCCUUAUCAUUCGCCCUCUAUGUGACUUUGAAUCUGUUUUUUCAGCCAGAACUGGACGUGAAGGCAUCCUUAGAGCCUGUACAAUCAGCAGCAACUCCCAAAUUUCUCUACAGGAGGGGCUUGGGCCAUCAGUCUGGUGAAAGGACAAAUGCAGCUAGAGCAGAAGUCUGGAGACGAUGUUCAUUUACAAGUACUCUGGAUUA